GCCCUUACUGCUCAGUAACACGUAGUCAACAUACCGUAAAGAGGCGAAUAACGUCGGGAAACUGACGACAAUGCGCCAUAGGCUAAGGCAUCUGGAAGGAGCCUUAGUUUAAAGGACCUGAAUUGGAGGGUAUCUGCUUUACGAUUGGACUGCGCCUGAUCAGGCAGAUGGCGGGGUAACGGCCCACCAUACCUAUUACCAGUAGGGGUUGUGAGAGCAAGAGCCCCGAGAAGGGCACUGAGACAAGGGCCCUAGCGCUACGGCGUGCAGCAGGCGCGCAAACUCCACAAUGCGCGGAAGCGUGAUGGGGGGAAUCCGAGUGGUUCACUUCGGUGAACCUUUUGCCAAGUAUAGCAAGCUUGGCGAAUAAGUGCUGGGCAAGACCGGUGGCAGCCGCCACGGUAAUACCGGCAGCACAAGUGGUAUCCACGAUUAUUGGGCUUAAAGCGCUCGUAGCUGGCCUGUUCCGUCUCAUGUGAAAUAUUGGCGCUCAACGUCAAUGCGUGCAUGAGAUACCGGCAGGCUAGGGAGCGGGUGAGGUACGAGGUACUCAUGGGGGAGGGGUAAAAUCCUGUAAUCCGAUGAGGACCAACGGUGGCGAAGGCGUCGUACCAGAACGCAUCCGACAGUGAGGAGCGAAGGCUAGGAGAACGAAUCGGAUUAGAUACCCGAGUAGCCCUAGCAGUAAAUUAUGCAGACUCUGGUGUUGCAAAUGUCUUGAACGUUUGCAGUACCGUAGCGAAAGUGUUAAGUCUGCCGCCUGGGGAGUACGGCCGCAAGGUUGAAACUUAAAGGAAUUGGCGGGGGAGCACAAGGG
RNAcentral lists this ribosomal RNA (817 nucleotides) under uncultured archaeon. RNAcentral describes it as "bacterial SSU rRNA". It matches the Rfam family "Archaeal small subunit ribosomal RNA", at positions 79 to 887 of the family's 1478-position model. The record is from RNAcentral.